CCUUUUAUAGCAUAACAAAAUGCAUAUAACUGUUAAUUAUAAAAUAUUUUAAAAUUUAAAGGU
This 63-nucleotide transfer RNA is filed under the name Clavisyllis tenjini. RNAcentral's name for it is "tRNA-Asn". The record is from RNAcentral. Lineage: Eukaryota; Metazoa; Annelida; Polychaeta; Phyllodocida; Syllidae.